CCCCUCACCAUGCUGACGUCUUCCAUUGUGCAGCCACAUAAUCCUUUGUGCAGCGCCUCGUUCUCAUUCAGUUACUCUCAGAACAAGGCGCCAUGCAAAGGAUUAUGUCACCGGAAGUAGUACUGUAUGUGAGCGCCACUGCGCUUUGCAGCACCACUACAUAGAGUGCUCCUCUCACUGACCACCAAUGAAAGAGGUGCCCCUUCCGAAAGUGCAGUGGGGGCUGGAUAAAUGGCCUCAGGGGACUGCAUGUAGCCUAUGGGCUGUAGUUUGGGGACUGCAACAGCAAAGAUAACAGUGCUUAGCCUAGGACUUGUGGAAGCCUUUGCUCUUUGGCUCCCUUGAAACCUGGCCUCUGAGAUCUGUAACCUCCAGACAGAAGAUAGGAGAAGUCUAGGUUCUUGCUUCCAGCUCUGUGAAGGACUCCACCUUUACUUAUUAUUACAAUCUCCAAAUUCCUGUUGGUGCCUAAGGAGUGUCUGGGGACGAAGGCAUUUAAGCAUCUGUACCCUGUGUCAAGUUCACUGUCUCCACCAGGACUUAAUGAAGGCAUACAAUGUCAUCCACAAAUGUGAUCGUCUGGAGGACCCCUCCAUCUUUAGGGAAUCGCUGGUUGAUUUGGACUUUGUGUUGAGUUCUCACCUUUAGGUUUAGUGCGCCAGACUGCAGGGACCAAUUUUUAAGAAUAUAAUGAAGAAGUGGAAUCUGAAAACUCCCUUCCUCCUUCAAGAAGCUGACAACUUUCUAAAUUUAGUUUGUAAAAGGUAAAAUUCUUAUACAAAAGGUUUGGGGCCUACUUUGCCCUGUGGCUGUCUGAGUAGUUUAUAGGGUUAUCAGGUGGCAUUUUGUUGCUCAAGUGAAGAAAAAAUAUUGGAAAAUAUCCCAGAAUAGAGCCAAUCUGAAUUCUUUUGUGGGGGGAGAGGUUUGUGAGUGAAGAAGAAAAGAAAGGUACAACAGAAUCUUCACAUCUACAUUCUACUCUCUUCACGGUUUCAUUCUCUGAAGAAAGUCACAGGAAUAAGAAAAUCUUCAUCAUCUAAAUAACAUUUCCCAGAAUUUUCCCAACUAGAGCAAGCCUCAUAAACUACAAAUCCUCGCUUGAGGAGAAAAGGAGAAAGGAGCUCACACUGGCCUCACUUGGUUGCUUCCUAGUUUAGCCAAUUAUUUUUGCUAACUAGGUGCUAAGCUCUAUUUUUCCUGUAUUGCUAAAGAACUGCAAGUGCUUUUUAGCACCAUUUAAAUUCAGUACCUUGGGACAAAGUCCUGCCAUCUCACCCUAGUUAUUAUGGCUCUGGUGUUUCCAUGCCACCCAAGUAUUUUCACAAACCUUCAAGAUAUUAAAAAAGGGAUGAUACAAGCCUAUUUGUAGUGCCAGUAGCCAUGUUAGCUCCUGCUUGACCAGCAUAAUUGGAAUAAGAUUAGGCAGAAAAUUUUAUUGCUAUUUCUGCAGGUAGUUCUAAUUAUAGGGUGCAUUCUUAGAGGGCAUAGAUGAUGAAGCCAUUGAAUAGGGAAGAAACAAGUCCAUGAAUCAUCUCCAUUAUUAAAUUACUGUUCAAACUAUUAAGUCCUUUAUCCUGACCAAAAUUAAUCCAAAAGUUGGAUUUAGAGUAUUGAAACUAUUGAGAAUAAUUUCUUUCAGCCCUUUUCUGGGAUAAAAUUAAAGUCCCUCGAGGACAGUUCUGAUUUUUGGAUGCAGUCAAAAAUCUUCUGGAAUCAAGCCUAAUGAAAAAGAUGAAUAAUCAAAACUAAAUAAUAAACUUUAUACAAAUA
RNAcentral lists this long non-coding RNA (1770 nucleotides) under Monodelphis domestica (gray short-tailed opossum). RNAcentral describes it as "lncRNA (ENSMODG00000030589.2)". The record is from RNAcentral. Lineage: Eukaryota; Metazoa; Chordata; Mammalia; Didelphimorphia; Didelphidae.